RNAcentral lists this ribosomal RNA (1384 nucleotides) under Scaphiophryne marmorata (marbled rain frog). RNAcentral describes it as "partial 16S ribosomal RNA". It matches the Rfam family "Bacterial large subunit ribosomal RNA", at positions 458 to 2592 of the family's 2925-position model. Lineage: Eukaryota; Metazoa; Chordata; Amphibia; Anura; Microhylidae. The record is from RNAcentral.
GCCGAAAGCCUAGCCCUACCCUAAGACAGCCAACCCAUCCCACCUCAGUCACCAAAACAUUUUUAAUAGUAAAGGCGAUUGAAAAUACUAGAGCUUAACAUAGUACCGCAAGGGAAAUGAAAUAAAUGAAAUAAUUAAAGCAAAGCAGAGAUUUAACCUCGUACCUUUUGCAUCAUGGUCUAGCUAGUUUAACCAAGCAAAGCGAAAUUAUAGUUUGACACCCCGAAACUAGGUGAGCUACUUCAAAACAGCCUUCAAGGGCCAACCCGUCUCUGUUGCAAAAGAGUGGGAAGAUUUUCAAGUAGAGGUGAUAGACCUACCGAACCUAGAGAUAGCUGGUUAUUCAGGAAAAGGAUUUAAGUCCUACCUUAAGUUUUUCUAUACUACAAAAUAUACCCAUAAACUUAAGAGCUAUUCAAAUAAGGUACAGCCUAUUUGAAACAGGAAACAACCUAAAACACAGGGUAAUGAUAUUCUAAAUGUGACCAAGUGGGCCUAAAAGCAGCCAACUUUUAAAUAGCGUUAAAGCUUCAUCACUUCAUUUAACAAAUAACCAUAACACCACAAAACCCUUUACCACUACUGAAUGACUCCAUAAUUGUAUGGAGAACACUAUGCUAGAACUAGUAACAAGAAGAAGACCUUCUCCAAAAUGUAAGUGUAAGCCAAAAUGAACAUCUCACUGGCACUUAUCGUCUCUGAACUUACGGUAGCAACUUCACAAGAAAAUACUACCACACAAAACGUUAACCUUACACCAGAACAUUACCGGAAAGAUUAAAAGAAGAGGAAGGAACUCGGCAAAUUUUAACCCCGCCUGUUUACCAAAAACAUCGCCUCCUGAAAUAACUAUAGGAGGUCCAGCCUGCCCAGUGACAAAGUUAAACGGCCGCGGUACCCUAACCGUGCGAAGGUAGCGCAAUCACUUGUUCUUUAAAUGAGGACUAGUAUGAAUGGCAUCACGAGGGUUAUACUGUCUCCCUCUUUCAAUCAGUGAAACUGAUCUUCCCGUGAAGAAGCGGGAAUACAUCUAUAAGACGAGAAGACCCCAUGGAGCUUAAAACUCAGUAUCAACUACUAUACUAAUUUAUCCUCUUAAUUAAGCAGAUCUGACUACUAGUUUUCGGUUGGGGUGACCGCGGAGCAAAACAAAACCUCCACGAUGAAAGGAACUAACCUCCUAAUCAAAGAGCUACCUCUCUAAGAAUCAACAAAUUGACAUUUAUUGAUCCAACUUUUUUGAUCAACGAACCAAGUUACCCUGGGGAUAACAGCGCAAUCCAUUUCAAGAGCCCCUAUCGACAAAUGGGUUUACGACCUCGAUGUUGGAUCAGGGUAUCCCAGUGGUGCAGCCGCUACUAAAGGUUCGUUGUCAACGAUAAAA